This is a small nucleolar RNA of Eptesicus fuscus (big brown bat), 98 nucleotides long. RefSeq annotates it as small nucleolar RNA SNORA13. The record is from RefSeq and is a predicted model, not a curated record. NCBI's taxonomy places the organism in Eukaryota, Metazoa, Chordata, Mammalia, Chiroptera, Vespertilionidae. The transcript has a single exon.
GACUGUGGUGUCAAAAAAGGCGUAAACUACACACUUUGCAGCCUUUACCUGCCCUUGAAUUUGAUGUCUUUGGUGGAAGAGCUGUGUAAGUAACAGCU